This 492-nucleotide ribosomal RNA is filed under the name uncultured bacterium. Its description in RNAcentral is "partial 16S ribosomal RNA". It matches the Rfam family "Bacterial small subunit ribosomal RNA", at positions 29 to 507 of the family's 1533-position model. The record is from RNAcentral.
AGUGAACGCUGGCGGUAGGCCUAACACAUGCAAGUCGAACGGCAGCACAGUAAGAGCUUGCUCUUACUGGUGGCGAGUGGCGGACGGGUGAGGAAUACAUCGGAAUCUACUUUUUCGUGGGGGAUAACGUAGGGAAACUUACGCUAAUACCGCAUACUACCUACGGGUGAAAGCAGAGGAUCUUCGGACCUUGCGCGAUUGAAUGAGCCGAUGUCGGAUUAGCUAGUUGGCGGGGUAAAGGCCCACCAAGGCGACGAUCCGUAGCUGGUCUGAGAGGAUGAUCAGCCACACUGGAACUGAGACACGGUCCAGACUCCUACGGGAGGCAGCAGUGGGGAAUAUUGGACAAAGGGCGCAAGCCUGAUCCAGCCAUACCGCGUGGGUGAAGAAGGCCUUCGGGUUGUAAAGCCCUUUUGUUGGGAAAGAAAAGCAGCAGGUUAAUACCCCGCUGUUCUGACGGUACCCAAAGAAUAAGCACCGGCUAACUUCGUG